GCCAGUGUGGUGUUGUGGUUUCAGCAUUAGACUAUGACCCUUGAGACCAGGGUUCAAAUCCCUGCUUGGCCA
This is a non-coding RNA of Phrynosoma platyrhinos (Desert horned lizard), 72 nucleotides long. The record is from the annotation of a GenBank genome assembly. NCBI's taxonomy places the organism in Eukaryota, Metazoa, Chordata, Lepidosauria, Squamata, Phrynosomatidae.